GGCCGCCUGGCGAAAUGGCAUCGCGUCUGACUACGACUUGCUUUGAAAUCAGGAGAUUGCAGGUUCGACCCCUGCGGUGGUCA
This is a transfer RNA of Sphaerobolus stellatus SS14, 83 nucleotides long. It matches the Rfam family "tRNA". From Rfam's summary of the family: Transfer RNA (tRNA) molecules are approximately 80 nucleotides in length. Their secondary structure includes four short double-helical elements and three loops (D, anti-codon, and T loops). The record is from Rfam. Lineage: Eukaryota; Fungi; Basidiomycota; Agaricomycetes; Geastrales; Sphaerobolaceae.